RNAcentral lists this ribosomal RNA (253 nucleotides) under uncultured bacterium. Its description in RNAcentral is "partial 16S ribosomal RNA". It matches the Rfam family "Bacterial small subunit ribosomal RNA", at positions 524 to 776 of the family's 1533-position model. The record is from RNAcentral.
UACGUAGGGGGCAAGCGUUGUCCGGAAUCAUUGGGCGUAAAGCGCGUGUAGGCGGCCCGGUAAGUCCGCUGUGAAGGUCGGGGGCUCAACCCUCGGAUGCCGGUGGAUACUGUCGGGCUAGAGUGCGGGAGAGGCGAGUGGAAUUCCUGGUGUAGCGGUGAAAUGCGCAGAUAUCAGGAGGAACACCAAUUGCGAAGGCAGCUCGCUGGAACGUAACUGACGCUGAGGCGCGAAGGCUAGGGUAGCAAACAGG